Non-coding RNA from Acanthosepion pharaonis, 113 nucleotides. The record is from the annotation of a GenBank genome assembly. Lineage: Eukaryota; Metazoa; Mollusca; Cephalopoda; Sepiida; Sepiidae.
UACGGCCAUAUAAAUUUGAAACACCGGUUCUCUUGCGAUCAUUGUAGUUAAGCAACAUCGACUCUGGUCAGUACCUAUAUAGGUAACCGCUUGGGAAUUCCAUGCGCUGCAUU